This 608-nucleotide ribosomal RNA is filed under the name Eophila gestroi. RNAcentral's name for it is "partial large subunit ribosomal RNA". It matches the Rfam family "Bacterial large subunit ribosomal RNA", at positions 1900 to 2827 of the family's 2925-position model. Lineage: Eukaryota; Metazoa; Annelida; Clitellata; Crassiclitellata; Lumbricidae. The record is from RNAcentral.
CUGUGCACGGUGACUAACGUUCAACGGCCGCGGUAUCCUAACCGUGCAAAGGUAGCAUAAUCACUUGCCCAUUAAUUGUGGGCUAGAAUGAAAGGACUAACGAAAUAAAAACUGUCUCUAUAAGACCAAUAAAAAUUAAUCUCUAACUGAAGAAUGUUAGAUACUAUCGAAGGACAAGAAGACCCUAUAGAGCUUUAUCCCUAUAAAAAAUAAAAUUUUAAUAAGAUUCGGUUGGGGCGACCGGGGAAAAAGUUAUCAUCCCCACUCACAAGAUAAAUAAAUCCCAUUUCUGACCCUUAAUAAAGAUCAUCAAACAAAGCUACCUUAGGGAUAACAGGCUAAUCCCGCUAAAGAGUCCUUAUCAAUAGCGGGGGUUGGCACCUCGAUGUUGGCUUAGGGAAUCUAUGUGGCGCAGAAGUCAUAUAAAGAUGGUUUGUUCAACCAACAAUACCCUACAUGAGCUGAGUUCAGACCGGCGUAAGCCAGGUUAGUUUCUAUCCUCGAUAACAAUAAACCUAUUUAUAGUACGAAAGGACCUAAAUACGGAUAAUAAUUAUAAAUAAUGAAUAAAUAUAACCCAUAAUAACAUAAAAAAUAUAUACACUAUA